Molecule: ribosomal RNA, 494 nt
Filed under: uncultured bacterium
Lineage: Bacteria
Description: partial 16S ribosomal RNA
Rfam family: Bacterial small subunit ribosomal RNA
Source: RNAcentral
GACGAACGCUGGCGGCGCGCUUAACACAUGCAAGUCGAACGGAAAGGCCUGCUUUCCCUUGUGGAUUGCGGGUACUCGAGUGGCGAACGGGUGAGUAACACGUGAGUGAUCUGUCCCCAACUUGGGUAUAAGCCUGGGAAACUGGGUCUAAUUCCCGAUAGGACUGCAGGGUGGUGCCUGUGGUGGAAAACGAUUUUCUAGUGGUUGGGGAUGAGCUCGCGGCCUAUCAGCUUGUUGGUGGGGUAAUGGCCUACCAAGGCGGCGACGGGUAGCCGGCCUGAGAAGGUGGACGGCGACAGUGGAACGGGGAAACGGGACUGACUCCGAGGGGAGGCAGCUGUGGGGAGUAGUGCGCGAGGAGCGGAAGCCAGAGGCAGCGACGCGGCGUGGAGGAUGACGGCCUUCGGGGAGUGAACUCCUGUCGUCCGCGAGGAAGCCACGUGGUUGGAAGGGUGGUGACGGUAGUGGUAGAAGAAGCACCGGCUAACUACGUG